Molecule: ribosomal RNA, 1348 nt
Filed under: metagenome
Description: bacterial LSU rRNA
Rfam family: Bacterial large subunit ribosomal RNA
Source: RNAcentral
UAGUCGAAGGUGUGAUGCGGACCGAAAAAGAGUAGGGAAGCUGUUAAGCAAGCCGUCAAGAAAAGCUGCUAUUGUUUCAUUAUGGCCCGUACCGUAAACCGACACAGGUGGAUGGGGAGAGAAUCCUAAGGCCGGCGGAAGAAGUAUUGUUAAGGAACUCGGCAAAAUGACCCCGUAACUUCGGGAGAAGGGGUGCCUGCGAGAGCAGGCCGCAGAGAAGAGGCCCAAGCAACUGUUUAGCAAAAACACAGGUCUAUGCAAAACCGAAAGGUGAGGUAUAUGGGCUGACGCCUGCCCGUGCUGGAAGGUUAAGGGGAGUGGUCAGGAAACGAAGCCACGAACUUAAGCCCCAGUAAACGGCGGCCGUAACGAUAACGGUCCUAAGGUAGCGAAAUUCCUUGUCGGGUAAGUUCCGACCCGCACGAAAGGCGUAAUGAUUUGGGCGCUGUCUCGACAAUACAUCCGGUGAAAUUGAAGUGCCAGUGAAGAUGCUGGCUACCUGCGCCAGGACGGAAAGACCCCAUGGAGCUUUACUCCAGCUUGAUACUGGGACCCGGUAUUGCAUGUACAGGAUAGGUGGGAGGCUAGGAAAUGUGGACGCCAGUCUGCAUGGAGCCGCUGUUGGGAUACCACCCUUGUGGUGCUGGGUUUCUAACCAGAGGCCGUGAACCGGUCUGGGGACAAUGUCAGGUGGGGAGUUUGACUGGGGCGGUCGCCUCCGAAAGGGUAUCGGAGGCGCCCGAAGGUUCCCUCAGAAUGGUUGGAAACCAUUCGAAGAGUGCAAAGGCAGAAGGGAGCUUGACUGUGACACCGACGGGUGGAGCAGGUACGAAAGUAGGGCUUAGUGAUCCGGUGGAAUUUAAGUGGGAAUGCCAUCGCUCAACGGAUAAAAGCUACCCUGGGAUAACAGGCUGAUCACUCCCAAGAGUUCACAUCGACGGAGUGGUUUGGCACCUCGAUGUCGGCUCAUCGCAUCCUGGGGCUGAAGUCGGUCCCAGGGGUUGGGCUGUUCGCCCAUUAAAGCGGUACGCGAGCUGGGUUCAGAACGUCGUGAGACAGUUCGGUCCCUAUCCGGCGUGGGCGUAGGAUAUCUGAGAGGAGCUGUCCUUGGUACGAGAGGACCGGGAUGGACUGACCUCUGGUGUACCGGUUGGCGAUCAACGCCACGGCCGGGUAGCCAUGUCGGGACGGGAUAAACGCUGAAGGCAUCUAAGCGUGAAGCCCCCCUCAAGAUGAGAUAUCCCAUCGUAAGAGUAAGACCCCUUGAAGACGACGAGGUUGAUAGGGCAGGGGUGGAAGUGCUGUAAGGCAUGGAGCUGACUGCUACUAAUCGGUCGAGGGCUUGAUC